UUUAACGGCCGCGGUAUCUUAACCGUGCGAAGGUAGCGCAAUCACUUGUUUCUUAAAUGGAGACCUGUAUGAAUGGCAUUACGAGGGCCAAACUGUCUCCUUCCCCUAGUCAAUGAAAUUGAUCUCCCCGUGCAGAAGCGGGGAUAAAAACAUAAGACGAGAAGACCCUUUGGAGCUUAAGACUACAGACAGACCAUGCCAAUAAGACCAAAUAAACGGUUAUAAGCCAAUUGGACUAACACUGCUCUAAUGUCUUUGGUUGGGGCGACCGAGGGGAAACAAAAAACCCCCAUGUGGAGCAGGAGAACUUUUCUCCCACAACCCAGAUCAACAGAUCUAAGUACCAGAAAUUCUGACCAAAAAGAUCCGGCAAAGCCGAUCAACGGACCGAGUUACCCUAGGGAUAACAGCGCAAUCCCCUUUUAGAGCCCAUAUCGACAAGGGGGUUUACGACCUCGAUGUUGGAUCAGGACAUCCUAAUGGUGCAGCCGCUAUUAAGGGUUCGUUUGUUCAACGAUUAAAGUCCU
RNAcentral lists this ribosomal RNA (527 nucleotides) under Hemiramphus far (blackbarred halfbeak). RNAcentral describes it as "partial 16S ribosomal RNA". It matches the Rfam family "Bacterial large subunit ribosomal RNA", at positions 1923 to 2597 of the family's 2925-position model. Lineage: Eukaryota; Metazoa; Chordata; Actinopteri; Beloniformes; Hemiramphidae. The record is from RNAcentral.